GAUGGAGAACGCAGCGAAAUGCGAUAAGUAAUGUGAAUUGCAGAAUUCAGUGAAUCAUCGAAUCUUUGAACGCACAUUGCGCCCGCCAGUAUUCUGGCGGGCAUGCCUGUCCGAGCGUCAUUUCAACCAUCAAGCCCCCGGGCUUGUGUUGGGGACCUGCGGCUGCCCGCAGGCCCUGAAAACCAGUGGCGGGCUCGCUGUCACACCGAGCGUAGUAGCAAUCACCUCGCUCAGGGCGUGCUGCGGGUUCCGGCCGUUAAACAGCCUUACAAAACCCAAGGUUGACCUCGGAUCAGGUAGGAAGACCCGCUGAACUUAAGCAUAUCAAUAAGCGGAGGA
Molecule: unclassified non-coding RNA, 339 nt
Filed under: soil metagenome
Description: partial contains 5.8S ribosomal RNA, internal transcribed spacer 2, and large subunit ribosomal RNA
Rfam family: 5.8S ribosomal RNA (bases 1-120)
Source: RNAcentral